UGCNNGUCGAGCGGUAACAUUUCUAGCUUGCUAGAAGAUGACGAGCGGCGGACGGGUGAGUAAUACUUAGGAAUCUACCUAGUAGUGGGGGAUAGCUCGGGGAAACUCGAAUUAAUACCGCAUACGUCCUACGGGAGAAAGGGGGCAACUUGUUGCUCUCGCUAUUAGAUGAGCCUAAGUCGGAUUAGCUAGAUGGUGGGGUAAAGGCCUACCAUGGCGACGAUCUGUAGCUGGUCUGAGAGGAUGAUCAGCCACACCGGGACUGAGACACGGCCCGGACUCCUACGGGAGGCAGCAGUGGGGAAUAUUGGACAAUGGGGGAAACCCUGAUCCAGCCAUGCCGCGUGUGUGAAGAAGGCCUUUUGGUUGUAAAGCACUUUAAGCAGUGAAGAAGACUCUUCGGUUAAUACCCGGAGACGAUGACAUUAGCUGCAGAAUAAGCACCGGCUAACUCUGUGCCAGCAGCCGCGGUAAUACAGAGGGUGCAAGCGUUAAUCGGAAUUACUGGGCGUAAAGCGAGCGUAGGUGGCUCGAUAAGUCAGAUGUGAAAUCCCCGGGCUUAACCUGGGAACUGCAUCUGAAACUGUCAGGCUAGAGUAGGUGAGAGGAAGGUAGAAUUCCAGUGUAGCGGUGAAAUGCGUAGAGAUCUGGAGGAAUACCGAUGGCGAAGGCAGCCUUCUGGCAUCAUACUGACACUGAGGCUCGAAAGCGUGGGUAGCAAACAGGAUUAGAUACCCUGGUAGUCCACGCCGUAAACGAUGUCUACUAGUCGUUGGGUCCCUUGAGGACUUAGUGACGCAGCUAACGCAAUAAGUAGACCGCCUGGGGAGUACGGCCGCAAGGUUAAAACUCAAAUGAAUUGACGGGGGCCCGCACAAGCGGUGGAGCAUGUGGUUUAAUUCGAUGCAACGCGAAGAACCUUACCUGGUCUUGACAUAUCUAGAAUCCUGCAGAGAUGCGGGAGUGCCUUCGGGAAUUAGAAUACAGGUGCUGCAUGGCUGUCGUCAGCUCGUGUCGUGAGAUGUUGGGUUAAGUCCCGCAACGAGCGCAACCCUUGUCCUUAGUUACCAGCGGGUUAAGCCGGGAACUCUAAGGAUACUGCCAGUGACAAACUGGAGGAAGGCGGGGACGACGUCAAGUCAUCAUGGCCCUUACGACCAGGGCUACACACGUGCUACAAUGGUAGGUACAGAGGGCAGCUACACAGCGAUGUGAUGCGAAUCUCAAAAAGCCUAUCGUAGUCCAGAUUGGAGUCUGCAACUCGACUCCAUGAAGUAGGAAUCGCUAGUAAUCGCGGAUCAGAAUGCCGCGGUGAAUA
This 1318-nucleotide ribosomal RNA is filed under the name Psychrobacter alimentarius. RNAcentral describes it as "bacterial SSU rRNA". It matches the Rfam family "Bacterial small subunit ribosomal RNA", at positions 56 to 1368 of the family's 1533-position model. The record is from RNAcentral. Lineage: Bacteria; Pseudomonadati; Pseudomonadota; Gammaproteobacteria; Moraxellales; Moraxellaceae.